CUCUCUCUCAUUCUUUCUCUCUUCUUGCAUGUCUCCUCUCCCCCUCUCCUUACCUCCAUCCUUCCUCCACUUCCUCUCCGCCUCACCCAUACCAGGGUCAGAGCAGCUAAUGAGUGUCCAGCAGCGGCCCGGCAGUGUGUGUGUGUGUGUGUGUGUGUGUGUGUGUGUGUGUGUGUGUGUGUGUGUGUGUGUGUGUGUGUGUGUGUGUGUGUGUGUGUGUGUGUGUGUGUGUGUGUGUGUGUGGGGGAGGAGAUCUGUCGGGCCCUGCCUCAGAUGUAGGUCACCCCUUGGAGCCCUGUUCAGGGUCUUGGGGGGAAAAAGAAGCAUCUGGUUCUCUCCUAUACAAUGAUAGUCCUGUUCAGUGCCCCACACACACACACACACACACACACACACACAUUGACGCAUCGAAACAUGCUGCCACCCUCAGAUGAAUUCCCCUGCCAUGACCCAUUCGCAUGCCAGUGCGAUGUCUGCAGCUUAGUCACCAAGCCACAGUUUGCCACAGUGACCCAGCUCCUGCUGAGGAUGUGGUUUAUUGCGCCCACGCCCAUCUCUCAGGUCUGCGCCCACGCCCAUCUCUCAGGUCUGCGCCCACGCCCAGCUCUCAGGUCUGCGCCCACGCCCAUCUCUCAGGUCUGCGCCCACGCCCAUCUCUCAGGUCUGCGCCCACGCCCAGCUCUCAGGUGUGUCUCUGGCGUGGGCGUAGGAGGGAGCAGCAGCUCUCAGUGAUUCACGUCCGCUUCCGUUUCAUUCAGUGGGAUGCCAUGAUGGCCUGUGAGUUCCAGUUAUGGCACCCCUCUUUAGCUGAUGUGAGUACUGGCGAAGAGGUGCUAGCAGAGGACCGCCACCAGAGAGAGAGAGAGAGAGAGAGAGAGAGAGAGAGAGAGAGGGAGGGAUGGAAAGGGAGGGAAGGAAGGAGAGAGUGAGGAGGGAGAGAGGGGAGUGAUGGCUUCUCGUCUUCCUGUCUGGCUGUUUGCACAACUGUCUGGGAACAGAAAGCUCGAUGAGUCGGCCUGGGUAUUCGACUGCACAUCCAGAAAGCCAACACCCUCCAUCUGAAACCAUGCUGGGAAUUCAUGUCUGGGCCUCCCCAAGGUUAAACCCUUGCAUGAAACCUUCUGUGCAGCUCAGAUAUGUGAAACUGUCUCUCUCGCUCUCUCUGUCUCAGACUUGACUCUUCAGAUACUACCUGAAUGCUGGACACAUUUCUCUUGUCAGCCUGAAUUCUGUCUGCGUCUCUGAAAGGUCUAACGCCC
This is a long non-coding RNA of Clupea harengus (Atlantic herring), 1259 nucleotides long. NCBI's taxonomy places the organism in Eukaryota, Metazoa, Chordata, Actinopteri, Clupeiformes, Clupeidae. The record is from Ensembl.